CCAGGGGCCAGCAAAGGACUCAGAAGAAGUCAAUAUCACCAACAUCAUCAACAGCUCCAUCUCCAGCUUUAAACGAAAGAUCAGCUUCGCCAGCAUUGAAAUUUCUGGCGACAAUGUCAACUACAGCGACCUGACGAUGAAAGCCAGCGACAAGUUUAAGUUUGUCUUCCGAGAAAAGAUCGGCAGAAUCAUUGAUUACUUCACAAUUCAAAAUCCCAGCAACGUGGAUCGAUAUUCUAAACUACUGUUUCCUUUGAUUUUUAUGUUGGCCAAUGUAUUUUACUGGGCAUACUACAUGUAUUUUUGAGAUGCCAUUGAACUCUUGCAUGCCAUGUGUUUUUAACGGAAUAACAACGAUGCUCAGGGUAGUCCAGGACAUGUGUGUGCACUUCAGAUUAGAAAUGGGCUAAUGUAACGAUUAUUCAAAGUUGUGUAGAAGUCCUAGUGCGACCAGAUUCUAUAGUAGAGUCAUUAUGAAGCAAGCCUUUCUUCUUCAAUUUUGGACAGAACCACCUACUUGCAAACCUACUCAGAGUUAGUAUCAGGUACAUAAAACACGAAGAAGUUUUGAAACUUAUUCUAGAAUUCCUAAUACAGGAUGCUGCCAUGAAGACUUGCUGGGUCAAGUCUCUUAGUUAGUCACCUUGACUCCACAUACUAGCGAGGUACCAAGUAGACCAGAGUACUCUGUCAACUGCUUGUCUCCGUUGACCUGUUGACCAAAAUGUUGGAGUAUUUACCAGUGGCAAAUGUCCUGUUUCCUUCCAGGAGGAGCUUUCAUCCCUGGGCUCCAGUGACCAGGCAGGAGUGAUCUCUAUUCAAUAAGGAGCCAGAGUACCCAGAUAUAAGUAGCUUAUCUUAAAUAGAUACCUUUCCCCCAACCUUUCUAGCUGAACUGCUUUGAGUGGCUUAUCCUGAGUGAGCAGCUGACCACUGGCCCUGAACAGUCCUGACUGUUCUGCAUUGUACAACCCACAUGGGCUGUCUCUUCUGAGUUCAGCCAGACUCACCCUGACCAAGGAGCUCAUGUGUGCCUCUCUCCCUCUUGCUCCUCAAGAGUCGCCUAUCCGAGGUUCUAAUUCCGCCUCAAUUAUUUCAAAGACUCUUGCCAUCUUCAGUUCUUUAGCCUCCUUUUCUAAUGAACCCUCAGCUUUCCCUGUCCUUUCUACACCAACACAGAGCUUUAGAUGGUCUUUCCUUUCAUGUCCGUUGGCCAUGGGCUCUCCUUCCCAUGAUCAUGGUUCUGCUCAUAAUUCCAUCUCCGUGAGCUUGAUUGCCUGGCGCUUAGCAAAUGUUCCUGCUCAGAAUUCUCUGUGUUCAUUGGAGUACACCCUUGAGCUAGGUGUAGUUACACUAUUAGAGUUCUUAGUAAAAUCUCUUUGUAUUUUGUAUCUGUCAUAUGCGUUCCUAAGGAGUGGGGUUAGGAGAGGGGGAAAUGUGGUUGAGUGAUUCAAUCAUAUUUGUGAUUUUUUUUUAUAAAAAUGUUUAAAACAUAACUUCACCGAGGCCUCAUUUAAGCUACUGAAUAAUGCAAAUUGUAAAUAUGUGGAACUAUAAAAAUAAAUACAUCGUACGAGC
RNAcentral lists this long non-coding RNA (1578 nucleotides) under Rattus norvegicus (Norway rat). Its description in RNAcentral is "long non-coding RNA NONRATT005343". The record is from RNAcentral. Lineage: Eukaryota; Metazoa; Chordata; Mammalia; Rodentia; Muridae.